ACAAGUAAUCUAUCAACGCCACGACUAUCAUUAGUGAAAUUCUGCAACAACGUACAUUCCUUUCACAUGUAGCAUUGUAGCUAGUGGCACCAACCGAGCUAAAAUACUUGAAACGGACAAUGUAUAUGUCGUAUGAUUCGAAUUUAAACCCUUUAAGUUUCGCAAUAAAAUUCUUAUCAUCAAAUCAAAAAAUGAAUUCUGUUAUAAAAUCUUAUACUCUAUGAAUUCUUACGAUUUACAACACCUAAAUUUUAUAUUAAUUGUUCCUUGUGUCUUCUUCCUCUCAUGAAACUUCUUCAUCGAUCUCUCAUAAUCCAAACUCUUCUCUUCUUCGAUUGAACUCAAGCAUAACUCCGUGAGUUCCCCGUGAAGCAAUAAGGUGGCAUGUUCACUUCAUUUUCCCAUGAAUCAAGGCCAACCUUCAAUAAUAAAGCAAGACGUCCACGUCGCCUCUGAACAAACGAUACGGUUAAUUUAUAUUCACCGGUAGUGGAUUCAGAGUAUUCAGAGAACCCUCAUCAUAAACUCGAAUUAAACAAAAAUCUAUAAUGAAUUAAGAAUUUUGAUCCAUUUCAUUAUUUUACGAAUUCAAUGCUAUAAAACUAUGAAAAUACCUUGGUAACAAUUGAAAAAUACCAAAAUUUUACAUAUGAUAUCAUGAUUCCCGAUCUGGGUUAUGAGGAGAGCUAGCACACGUACCCCAAGAUCGGAUCUGCCCGUAUGAAAUCCAGAACCUCAUCCCAAGCAAAGAAGUUGUACGUGUUGAUAACUAAUAUACAAAUUAAGAUGAACCCCUUUCUUAGCCAGAACUUUAAACACCGAUCGAGAAAUCUUCAUUUUCAAACACUAAUAUCUCACAAUCCGUAAAUAUGGAUUACGAAAGUUGUACAAAGCUCAAGUUUUUUUGAGAGGGUCCGAAGACAUGGUGAUGAAUAAUAUAGCAACACAACUUUAAACACCGAUCGAGAGAUCUUCAUUUUCAAACACUAAUAUCCCACAAUCCGUAAAUAUGGAUUACGAAAGUUGUACAAAGCUCAUUUUUUAGAGAGUCCAAAGACAUGUCGAUGAAUAAUAUAGCAACACAACUUGAAGUUAUAUGAGAUGCAAACCAUUUUUCGUUGAUAAAUUGCAUGAAGUUAUAUGAGAUGCAAACCAUUCUUCGUUGAUAAAUUGCAUGAAUGACAAUUUAUCACAGCCAAACACAUAAAGGAAUAUCAUAUCCGACCACCAAUUAAGGAAGAGAAAGAGCCAAGCAUGAGAAAUAAGAGAGAGUGAGAAAGCAAAGGACUGACUGGCCGGGCUGGCCGCCCGCCGCCGCCGGAGCUAGCUAGCUAGCUGGGUCAUCGGCCGGUCAAGCAAGUCAUCCUUGGCUUUCACACGUACCGUUUGUAACUAGUUAUCUCUCUCAUCUUCAUCAUGCCCUGCUUCUCUUCCACUUUAUCACCUUAUAAGCUUUUACGGGACAGAAAUGUGGCUAUGGCGUUGAAGCACCAAUAUAUCUUAUAGGGCUGUAUAUAGUGGAGAAGAUCAUGGCAUAUACACAAUAUAUAUAUAGUACACAUGUCACGUGGCGGAUUGUAAAUGGUUGUUGAUUU
RNAcentral lists this long non-coding RNA (1595 nucleotides) under Linum usitatissimum (flax). Its description in RNAcentral is "long non-coding RNA (LUSI_LNC003027)". Lineage: Eukaryota; Viridiplantae; Streptophyta; Magnoliopsida; Malpighiales; Linaceae. The record is from RNAcentral.